Molecule: non-coding RNA, 794 nt
Organism: Thunnus maccoyii (southern bluefin tuna)
Lineage: Eukaryota; Metazoa; Chordata; Actinopteri; Scombriformes; Scombridae
Source: the annotation of a RefSeq genome assembly
AUGAUGCUGUUUAAUCAACAGAUCAAUCAGUUUAUCAGAUUUGUAUCACUGUGGGCCACGUUCGGUGGAGGAACCAGACUGGAUGUUGGAAGUGAUGUCCGUCCCACCCUGACGGUGCUGCCCCCCUCCAGCGAGGAGCUGGAGCACGGGAAGGCCACGCUCAUGUGUCUGGCCAACAAGGGCUUCCCCUCAGACUGGAGUCUGGCCUGGAAGGUGGACGGCAGUAGCAUCAGCAGCAGCUGCAGCUGGGAGGAGAGCAGGAGCCCCGCGGUGCUGCAGAAGGACGGCCGCUACAGCUGGAGCAGCACCCUGAGGCUCCCUGCAGACCAGUGGAGGAAGGUGGGCUCUGUGACCUGUGAGGCCACCCAGGGCUCCCAGACUCCAGUCUCAGAGACACUGAGGAGAGACCAGUGUUCCCAGUCCUGACCUGACUCACUGGGACUCUGCUUCUGGUUUUACUCUGCUACUGCUCUCAGUCUGCACUUUCUUUGUUUCUUUCUCUCAUUGAAUGUUUCAACAUUAAAGUGUUCUUGCUUGCUGUAAUGUCAAUGGUUCCAAAAUUGUAAAACAAUAAAGUUUCAUUUAAAAAAUUCAGGUGCAGUGACAAGUCUUUUGACUUAUUUUCUUUGCCAUAUACAGAAUAUAUUAGGUAUAUUAGUUCAGUUAAUAUACACAGCCACAAUAGUAAAAAUUCCAUCUUUUCUCCAGAUCAUCUUUUGUUGCAUUUCCUACUGUGGAAUAUGUUCUUGUUGUUGCAGUUUUAUCCAUACUAAUACAACAAUAAUUCACCAAUC